AGGUUAACCGUAUAGGGGAGCCGUAGGGAAACCGAGUCUUAACUGGGCGAAUGAGUUGCAGGGUAUAGACCCGAAACCCGGUGAUCUAUCCAUGGGCAGGUUGAAGGUUGGGUAACACUAACUGGAGGACCGAACCGACUAAUGUUGAAAAAUUAGCGGAUGACUUGUGGAUGGGGGUGAAAGGCCAAUCAAACCGGGAGAUAGCUGGUUCUCCCCGAAAGCUAUUUAGGUAGCGCCUCGUGAACUCAUCUUCGGGGGUAGAGCACUGUUUCGACUAGGGGGUCAUCCCGACUUACCAACUCGAUGCAAACUGCGAAUACCGAAGAAUGUUAUCACGGGAGACACACGGCGGGUGCUAACGUCCGUCGUGAAGAGGGAAACAACCCAGACCGCCAGCUAAGGUCCCAAAGUCAUGGUUAAGUGGGAAACGAAGUGGGAAGGCUCAGACAGCCAGGAUGUUGGCUUAGAAGCAGCCAUCAUUUAAAGAAAGCGUAAUAGCUCACUGGUCGAGUCGGCCCGCGCGGAAGAUGUAACGGGGCUAAACCAUGCACCGAAGCUGCGGCAGCGACACAUAGUGUUGUUGGGUAGGGGAGCGUUCUGUAAGCCUGCGAAGGUGUACUGUGAGGUAUGCUGGAGGUAUCAGAAGUGCGAAUGCUGACAUAAGUAACGAUAAUGCGGGUGAAAAACCCGCACGCCGGAAGACCAAGGGUUCCUGUCCAACGUUAAUCGGGGCAGGGUGAGUCGACCCCUAAGGCGAGGCUGAAAAGCGUAGUCGAUGGGAAACGGGUUAAUAUUCCCGUACUGGUGGUAACUGCGAUGGGGGAACGGAGAAGGCUAGGUUGUCCGGGCGACGGUCGUCCCGGUUCAAGCAGGUAGGCAGAGUGAUUAGGCAAAUCCGGUCACUUAAUGCUGAGAUGUGAUGACGAACCACCAAGGUGGUGAAGCAAUUGAUGCCCCGCUUCCAGGAAAAGCCUCUAAGCUUCAGGUUACCAACAAUCGUACCCCAAACCGACACAGGUGGUCAGGUAGAGAAUACUCAGGCGCUUGAGAGAACUCGGGUGAAGGAACUAGGCAAAAUGGUGCCGUAACUUCGGGAGAAGGCACGCUGGCGGUAGGUAAAGUCCCUCGCGGACGGCGCUGAAGCCAGUCGAAGAUACCAGCUGGCUGCAACUGUUUAUUAAAAACACAGCACUGUGCAAACACGAAAGUGGACGUAUACGGUGUGACGCCUGCCCGGUGCUGGAAGGUUAAUUGAUGGGGUUAGCGCAAGCGAAGCUCCUGAUCGAAGCCCCAGUAAACGGCGGCCGUAACUAUAACGGUCCUAAGGUAGCGAAAUUCCUUGUCGGGUAAGUUCCGACCUGCACGAAUGGCGUAAUGAUGGCCAGGCUGUCUCCACCCGAGACUCAGUGAAAUUGAACUCGCUGUGAAGAUGCAGUGUACCCGCGGCAAGACGGAAAGACCCCGUGAACCUUUACUAUAGCUUGACACUGAACAUUGAGCCUUGAUGUGUAGGAUAGGUGGGAGGCUUUGAAGUGUGGACGCCAGUCUGCAUGGAGCCAACCUUGAAAUACCACCCUUUAACGUUUGAUGUUCUAACCUAGGCCCAUAAACUGGGUCGGGGACCGUGUCUGGUGGGUAGUUUGACUGGGGCGGUCUCCUCCUAAAGAGUAACGGAGGAGCACGAAGGUUGGCUAAGCAUGGUCGGACAUCAUGCGGUUAGUGCAAAGGCAUAAGCCAGCUUGACUGCGAGAGUGACGGCUCGAGCAGGUACGAAAGUAGGUCUUAGUGAUCCGGUGGUUCUGAAUGGAAGGGCCAUCGCUCAACGGAUAAAAGGUACUCCGGGGAUAACAGGCUGAUACCGCCCAAGAGUUCAUAUCGACGGCGGUGUUUGGCACCUCGAUGUCGGCUCAUCACAUCCUGGGGCUGAAGUAGGUCCCAAGGGUAUGGCUGUUCGCCAUUUAAAGUGGUACGCGAGCUGGGUUUAGAACGUCGUGAGACAGUUCGGUCCCUAUCUGCCGUGGGCGUUGGAAGAUUGAGAGGGGUUGCUCCUAGUACGAGAGGACCGGAGUGAACGCACCACUGGUGUUCGGGUUGUCAUGCCAAUGGCAUUGCCCGGUAGCUAAGUGCGGAAGAGAUAACCGCUGAAAGCAUCUAAGCGGGAAACUUGCCUCGAGAUGAGUCUUCCCUGUCGCUUUAAGCGACCUAAAGGAACGUUUAAGACUAAGACGUUGAUAGGCUGGGUGUGUAAGCGUAGCGAUACGUUGAGCUAACCAGUACUAAUGAACCGUGAGGCUUAACCUG
This 2301-nucleotide ribosomal RNA is filed under the name Proteus mirabilis. RNAcentral describes it as "partial 23S ribosomal RNA". It matches the Rfam family "Bacterial large subunit ribosomal RNA", at positions 643 to 2925 of the family's 2925-position model. The record is from RNAcentral. Lineage: Bacteria; Pseudomonadati; Pseudomonadota; Gammaproteobacteria; Enterobacterales; Morganellaceae.